RNAcentral lists this ribosomal RNA (89 nucleotides) under Lacibacter luteus. Lineage: Bacteria; Pseudomonadati; Bacteroidota; Chitinophagia; Chitinophagales; Chitinophagaceae. The record is from RNAcentral.
UCACCUCUUCCCAUACCGAACAGAGAAGUUAAGCCCCUUAUGGCCGAUGGUACUGCACUACAAUGCGGGAGAGUAGGUAGCUGCCAUAU